AGGGGGGACCAACAGUUGGAAACCGACUGCUUAUUACCGCAUACGAUCUAACCUCGGCAUCGAGGAAAAGAUGAAAGGUGGCCUCUAUGUAUAAGCUAUCACUGAAGGAGGGGAUUGCGUCUGAUUAGCUAGUUGGAGGGGUAACCGCCCACCAAGGCGAUGAUCAGUAGCCGGUCUGAGAGGAUGAACGGCCACAUUGGGACUGAGACACGGCCCAGACUCCUACGGGAGGCAGCAGUGGGGAAUCUUCCGCAAUGGACGAAAGUCUGACGGAGCAACGCCGCGUGAGUGAUGACCGGCUUCGGGUUGUAAAGCUCUGUUAAUCGGGACGAAAGGCCUUCUUGCGAAUAGUGAGAAGGAUUGACGUACCGGAAUA
RNAcentral lists this ribosomal RNA (376 nucleotides) under Veillonella parvula. RNAcentral's name for it is "bacterial SSU rRNA". It matches the Rfam family "Bacterial small subunit ribosomal RNA", at positions 135 to 485 of the family's 1533-position model. The record is from RNAcentral. Lineage: Bacteria; Bacillati; Bacillota; Negativicutes; Veillonellales; Veillonellaceae.